RNAcentral lists this ribosomal RNA (443 nucleotides) under Strubellia wawrai. RNAcentral's name for it is "partial 16S ribosomal RNA". It matches the Rfam family "Archaeal large subunit ribosomal RNA", at positions 1918 to 2670 of the family's 2987-position model. Lineage: Eukaryota; Metazoa; Mollusca; Gastropoda; Acochlidiacea; Acochlidiidae. The record is from RNAcentral.
AGCCUUAAGCUUCUUUUAAGGUGAGCCCUGCCCAGUGAAUUUUUUUUUAACGGCCGCAGUACCUUGACUGUGCUAAGGUAGCGUAAUCAGUUGGCUUUUAAUUGGAGUCGAGAAUGAAUGGGUAACCGGGGACUAGCUGUCUCUAAUCUAUUACUUUGAACUUACUUAGAGGGUGAAAAUUCCCUUCAGUAGAAAAAAGACGAGAAGACCCUUGGAGUUUUGAGUAAAAGCUUUGUUACUUACCUUUUUGUUGGGGCGACAUGAAGACAGGUUUAUAACCCUUCAAUUCUUUAUGAACUUGACGGAGCUUUUCAAGAAAGAUUAAACUACCCUAGGGAUAACAGCAUAAUGUUUAUUUAAGCUUGUGACCUCGAUGUUGGACUAGGAACUAAAUGACUAGCCGUCAAGUUAGCUUGUUCUGUUCGAACUUUCUCCUCCUACGU